Gorilla gorilla gorilla (western lowland gorilla) is the source of this 486-nucleotide long non-coding RNA. RefSeq lists it as uncharacterized. NCBI's taxonomy places the organism in Eukaryota, Metazoa, Chordata, Mammalia, Primates, Hominidae. The transcript has 3 exons. The record is from RefSeq and is a predicted model, not a curated record.
UCUCUGUUCAUCUUUUUUGGGAGUCCCUCCCUGACCAUCCGACCUAAAGUGAUGUAGGACUUUUAGGGGCAGAAGCCAUUCCAGGCAGAGGGAUUAUGCUGGUCCUCAUACAUGGAACAAGUAAAUCAAUUUAGAGAAGCCAAAUGACUUCGUCCAGGUCACAGAGGAAGUGGGUGUCAUUGCCAGAACUGAACUCUAUGCCUCCCUGUCCAGCAAAAUUCCACUACAUAGAACAUAAUGUACCGUACCAUGAUCACGACAGUUCCAGGCAGGGAGUGAAGGGAGAGAGCCCAGGCUUCGGAGCUAAGCACAUGAAGUUUGAAUCCCAGCUCUUCUGCAUAUUCUAUGAAUCACUGAAUAUAUUUACAUACAUUCACUGUAUUCAGUUUCAUCUCUAAAAUUAGCAUAAUAUCCCAUUUUUAGAGUUGUGAGAAAGAUAAUAAAUAAUGCAUAUUUUAAAAACUGGUAAAUAAAAAGUUCUUGAAA